RNAcentral lists this long non-coding RNA (202 nucleotides) under Hordeum vulgare. RNAcentral's name for it is "long non-coding RNA (HVUL_LNC010570)". The record is from RNAcentral. Lineage: Eukaryota; Viridiplantae; Streptophyta; Magnoliopsida; Poales; Poaceae.
GGGUCUUCUGACAAUUCCAAUCUCCGGCAAGGUGGGUUGCUACCACCCUUAAAAUGAAGAUUACUGGUCCCUCAAAAUGUUUUAACGAUCCUCUGGGGUAUUGGCAACUGACUUCGCACAGUCUUCAUAUUAAAUCCUUUGGUGAUGCUCUCCCGUUAUGUUCAGAACGUUUCCAUCAAAAUUGAGGGUUCUUCUGUGGAUA